UACAGAGGGUGCAAGCGUUGUUCGGAAUUAUUGGGCGUAAAGGGCGCGUAGGCGGUGCGGUAAGUCUGUAGUGUAAUCUCUGGGCUCAACUCAGAGUCUGCUGCAGAAACUGCCGUGCUUGAGUGCGGGAGAGGUGAGUGGAAUUCCCGGUGUAGCGGUGAAAUGCGCAGAUAUCGGGAGGAACACCCGUAGCGAAGGCGGCACUCUGGGCCGGAACUGACGCUGAGGAGCGAAAGCGUGGGGAGCAAACAGG
This 253-nucleotide ribosomal RNA is filed under the name uncultured bacterium. RNAcentral's name for it is "partial 16S ribosomal RNA". It matches the Rfam family "Bacterial small subunit ribosomal RNA", at positions 524 to 776 of the family's 1533-position model. The record is from RNAcentral.